Molecule: ribosomal RNA, 465 nt
Filed under: uncultured bacterium
Lineage: Bacteria
Description: partial 16S ribosomal RNA
Rfam family: Bacterial small subunit ribosomal RNA
Source: RNAcentral
GACGAACGCUGGCGGCGUGCUUAACACAUGCAAGUCGAACGGAAAGGCCCCUUUGGGGGUACUCGCGUGGCGAACGGGUGAGUAACACGUUAGUAACCUGCCCUUGACUUCGGGAUAACUUCAUGAAACUGGGGCUAAUACCGGAUAGGAAUCCUUGCUGCAUGGUUGGGGUUGGAAAGCUUCGGCGGUUUUGGAUGGACUCGCGGCUUAUCAGCUUGUUGGUGGGGUAGUGGCUUACCAAGGCUUUGACGGGUAGCCGGCCUGAGAGGGCGACCGGCCACAUUGGGACUGAGAUACGGCCCAGACGCCUACGGGAGGCAGCAGUGGGGAAUAUUGCACAAUGGGCGGAAGCCUGAUGCAGCAACGCCGCGGGCGGGAUGACGGCCUUCGGGGUGUAAAACGGGUUCAGCAGGGGCGAAGCUUGUGGUGACGGUACCUGCAGAAGAAGCACCGGCUAACUACGUG